CCCGCGGCGGCGGCCUAAUNAUGCAAGUCGAACGAACUCUGGGUAUUGAUUGGUGCUUGCAUCAUGAUUUACAUUUGAGUGAGUGGCGAACUGGUGAGUAACACGCUGGGNAAACCUGCCCAGAAGCGGGGGAUAACACCUGCGAAACAGAUGCUAAUACCGCAUAACAACUUGGACCGCAUGGUCCGAGCUUGAAAGAUGGCUUCGGCUAUCACUUUUGGAUGGUCCCGCGGCGUAUUAGCUAGCAUGAGUGGGNGUAACGGCUCACCAUGGCAAUGAUACGUAGCCGACCUGAGAGGGUAAUCGGCCACAUUGGGACUGAGACACGGCCCAAACUCCUACGGGAGGCAGCAGUAGGGAAUCUUCCACAAUGGACGAAAGUCUGAUGGAGCAACGCCGCGUGAGUGAAGAAGGGUUUCGGCUCGUAAAACUCUGUUGUUAAAGAAGAACAUAUCUGAGAGUAACUGUUCAGGUAUUGACGGUAUUUAACCAGAAAGCCACGGCUAACUACGUGCCAGCAGCCGCGGUAAUACGUAGGUGGCAAGCGUUGUCCGGAUUUAUUGGGCGUAAAGCGAGCGCAGGCGGUUUUUUAAGUCUGAUGCGAGAGCCUUCGGCUCAACCGAAGAAGUGCAUCGCAAACUGGGACACUUGAGUGCAGAACAGGACAGUGGAACUCCAUGUGUAGCGCUGAAAUGCGUACAUCUAUGGAAGAUCACCAGUGGCGAAGGCGGCUGUCUGGUCUGUAACUGACGCUCACGCUCGCAAGUAUGCCUAGCGCACUGGAUUAGAUCCCCUGGUACUCCCUACCGUAGACUAUGAACGCAAAAAUGUCGGAGGAUUUCCGCCCUUCAGUGCUGCCCCUAACGCCUGAAACAUUCCUCCCCGGGGAGUAUCGGCGUCAAGGCNCGAACCUCAACUGGAAUUGANUGGGGGCCCGAAACUAUUCGUCGUAANAAGCGG
RNAcentral lists this ribosomal RNA (960 nucleotides) under Lactiplantibacillus argentoratensis. Its description in RNAcentral is "bacterial SSU rRNA". It matches the Rfam family "Bacterial small subunit ribosomal RNA", at positions 36 to 944 of the family's 1533-position model. The record is from RNAcentral. Lineage: Bacteria; Bacillati; Bacillota; Bacilli; Lactobacillales; Lactobacillaceae.